AUUAGAGUUUGAUCAUGGCUCAGGACGAACGCUGGCGGCGUGCUUAACACAUGCAAGUCACGGGGGCCCGCAAGGGUAACCGGCGAACGGGUGCGUAACACGUGAGCAACCUACCCAAGUGUGGGGGAUAGCCGGGCCAACGCCCGGGUAAUACCGCAUACGCUCUUCGAGGGACAUCCCUUGGAGAGGAAACCUCCGGGGCACAUGGAGGGGCUCGCGGCCUAUCAGCUAGUUGGUGCGGUAACGGCGCACCAAGGCUAUGACGGGUAGCUGGUCUGAGAGGAUGGCCAGCCACAUUGGGACUGCGACACGGCCCAGACUCCUACGGGAGGCAGCAGUGGGGAAUAUUGCGCAAUGGACGAAAGUCUGACGCAGCGACGCCGCGUGGGGGAUGAAGCAUUUCGGUGUGUAAACCCCUGUUGCUCGGGACGAACAAGCCUUUUCGAGGGCUCUGACGGUACCGGGUGAGGAAGCACCGGCUAACUCUGUGCCAGCAGCCGCGGUAAUAAU
RNAcentral lists this ribosomal RNA (510 nucleotides) under uncultured bacterium. RNAcentral's name for it is "bacterial SSU rRNA". It matches the Rfam family "Bacterial small subunit ribosomal RNA", at positions 1 to 527 of the family's 1533-position model. The record is from RNAcentral.